RNAcentral lists this small RNA (29 nucleotides) under Bombyx mori (domestic silkworm). RNAcentral's name for it is "ovarian small RNA-6677". The record is from RNAcentral. Lineage: Eukaryota; Metazoa; Arthropoda; Insecta; Lepidoptera; Bombycidae.
UAUUGAAAGAUAUAAGUUCCACACGUGUU